UACAGAGGGUGCGAGCGUUAAUCGGAAUUACUGGGCGUAAAGCGCGCGUAGGCGGCUUUGCAAGUCGGGUGUGAAAUCCCCAGGCUCAACCUGGGAACUGCAUUCGAGACUGCAUUGCUAGAGUAUGGGAGAGGGAAGUGGAAUUUCCGGUGUAGCGGUGAAAUGCGUAGAUAUCGGAAGGAACAUCAGUGGCGAAAGCGACUUCCUGGACCAAUACUGACGCUCAUGUGCGAAAGCGUGGGGAGCAAACGGG
RNAcentral lists this ribosomal RNA (253 nucleotides) under uncultured bacterium. RNAcentral describes it as "partial 16S ribosomal RNA". It matches the Rfam family "Bacterial small subunit ribosomal RNA", at positions 524 to 776 of the family's 1533-position model. The record is from RNAcentral.